CGAGCCCUGCUGUGUGCGUGGACCGCUCCGAUAUGUUUUGAGCCAACACCAAAACAUAGGGAGCCGAAACCUCAGUUGACGGCCGUCCUGCCCCCGCUAGCGAUAGCGCCAGGGGACUGCGAAAGUUAACGGGAGGCACCCACCUGCUGUCGAGCAGGUUCAAAACGUCGGUCAUGACACGGCAUGGUGGGGAACGA
Molecule: non-coding RNA, 197 nt
Filed under: Bacillota bacterium
Lineage: Bacteria; Bacillati; Bacillota
Also listed under: 1 other name
Description: 6S RNA
Rfam family: 6S / SsrS RNA
About the family: E. coli 6S RNA was the first non coding RNA to be sequenced, but its function was unknown until recently.
Source: RNAcentral